Cannabis sativa is the source of this 573-nucleotide long non-coding RNA. RefSeq lists it as uncharacterized. NCBI's taxonomy places the organism in Eukaryota, Viridiplantae, Streptophyta, Magnoliopsida, Rosales, Cannabaceae. The transcript is spliced from 3 exons. The record is from RefSeq and is a predicted model, not a curated record.
CUCUCUCUCUCUCUCUCUCUCUCUCUCUCUCUCUCUCUCUCUCUCUCUCUCUCUCUCGCUUUUCCUAAAUCGUGACGACGUCAUCAACCAUCUCUCCGGUGAACGACGUCCUUCUCCUCCCUUUGUCAUCUGUGGUGGUUGUUGGUGGAGUAGCUUUUCUAGCAGCAACAUUCGGCUUUGGUUCGCGACAAGUUUUUUCUACAGGUUUUGAAAGAUAAGGAUAACUGGAUAAGCAUCGACAAUAUCCGACAAGUCUUCUAUAGCAUAAGGCAUUACUUUGCUAAAAAAUUGGCUGAACAGUGAGUGAGUGUAAUACUCUUGUUGUAGCAUGGACAAAGUUGAAAAUUUGUAUUUUGUAGAAUUGUCAAGAUUGCAUAUUGGAUUUGUAUUGUAUUACUGUAAUAGUUUUUUUUUUUUUUUUGUAUUUGGACUUUGGACUGUUUUGUUAUUUUUUUUAUUUGGACUGGUUUGUAUUUACAAUUUGGACGGUUAUGUUCUUAGAAGUUAGAACUAUGAAGUGGUUUAUUUUGAUUUGAUUUAUAGUUAAAUUUUAAAAUAUGUUUAUCUAGUUGA